GGGGUUGUGGCUCAGUGGUAGAGCCUCGCCUAGCACGUGCAGACCCUGGGUUCGAGAUCCUCAGCACCA
RNAcentral lists this transfer RNA (69 nucleotides) under Marmota monax (woodchuck). RNAcentral's name for it is "tRNA.Ala". Lineage: Eukaryota; Metazoa; Chordata; Mammalia; Rodentia; Sciuridae. The record is from RNAcentral.